AUGUUUACAUAACAAACAUUAUAAAACAUAUAAAAAUACUGGUCAAUAUAAGUAUACAAUACUUAUGUAAAUACUUUCAUUUCAAAAUGAUUUUAUAGUUUGGAGAAUAAUGGGUGGGAAAAGAAGAAAUACAGCACCAAAGCUACAAUAGGUCCACAAGCUCGUGCCAAUGCUCCAAGAGAACGAAAAACACCUGUUAUUGCACCUUUUUGAUGAUCAGGCCCAAUACGUGUCACAAGAGUCAUCAUACAUGUAACAACCAUUGCAGUAGCUAUAACGAAUAAAAAAAUAAUUGAUGGAUAUUUAUUGUAUUUUAUACAUAUAAAUCAUAAGUGUCAUGUAAAUUGUAAAUGUCAUAGUAUACUCACAAAUUGCAAACAGAAGUAAUCCAAUUGACAAUGUCAAUAUAUCACUUGCAAAACCUAGACAAAUAAAAGCUGGAAUGAUCAACCACAAACCCUAAAAUAUUUAUAGAAUUAUAUAAUUUAAUUAAAAUAAAAUUAAUUUUUAUCAAA
Molecule: long non-coding RNA, 515 nt
Organism: Frieseomelitta varia
Lineage: Eukaryota; Metazoa; Arthropoda; Insecta; Hymenoptera; Apidae
Exons: 2
Source: RefSeq, a predicted model, not a curated record